Molecule: long non-coding RNA, 1759 nt
Organism: Cyprinus carpio carpio
Lineage: Eukaryota; Metazoa; Chordata; Actinopteri; Cypriniformes; Cyprinidae
Source: Ensembl
UAAUUUAAUUGACUAAUAACAGAUAAAAUACUACUGUUUAAGGACAAUUUCCUUUCUUAGUAUUGUAUGUUGCUCGUCGGUUUGAGUUCUCCGCAUUCUCUCAGCUGAACGAUAGAUGGCAGCACGCGCUCAGUCCCCUGCAGUCUGAUGUAAACAUGUGUGACGUGUCACCAGAGACACGAGCACUACGUCAGGAAAGUCGCAUGCGCACGUCUGAACACCUGUGGUCGUGGAGGAAGCAGAUGGACGGGUUUCCGCAGUCAAACACUGACCCUCCUUCCACACUGACGCGUGCUUUGAUUCUAGGUAACAUCACAGAUAAUGCGUGACCGUGUAGACACGUCCCACUGGUGGAGGGGGAGGAGAAAUGCACACAAUCACUCACUGUGAAGUCAGAAAGACGAGUGGACAUAAGCUGCACGACUGACUGCAGGUGUGCUCAGGAUCUGUCUGUGCUUGGACCUGCAGCUCCUCAGAUGUCUGUGCUCACAUCCUGUCAUCUCUAGCUUCUGUGUUUUUGCUCUACAUCUGGUUCAUGGAGUCCUGGUUGACGCCUUUUUACGCGUCUUCGGAUGUCAUCGCCCUUCGAUUUCUGCUCUUCCUUUGCAAGGCCUAUGGAGUUGUGUUACUGCUGAUGCCGCCUUUGAUUGCUGUGGAGUUGUUGGUUGAUCUGCUGUGUCCUCAAAGUGGGCGAACGAAGGGUAGAGAUGCAAGCGAAUCCCUCUCUAGUACAGUUGGCUAUUUGGGAUGUUUUCUAGCAUGGAGCAUGAGCGGGAUCUACAGCAGCCACGACUGGAUGCUGGAGCAGAUCUCAGUGGAAACCUGUCAAGGAAAAGGUGGCCAUCUUCUCACGUGCCUUCCCAGCGCUGAUGAGUCUUCCUGGGUUCUUCCUUCUAUGGUGGUCCUGUUGAGUUUAACAGGGAGCCUGGGUCUGUUCAGGACGAAGGCAUCCAGAAGAUUGCCUGACUCAUCUAAAAACACACAGAUGGGCAAGAAAAAGGACUAUUUGGGCCCUGGGCUAAUGCAUAUGUCACAAACUCUGGUUGACUCAGAAAAAACACCCAACAGCUGUGGCGUACACAUGGCCGGGUUUGUGAACAGUGAGCCACGACAGAUCUGUCCUGGGAAUGGUGUACUGUGCGCUCAACAAACCGGUUUGGCAGACAGUAUCAAGAAACAAAAGCAAUCAUCCAGCUUUGCAACAUUUGCACAGUCCAAAACCGAUCUUUCUCUGGAAGUCACAUCAUUGGCUGUCUUUAACAGGACAGACGCAAAGUCUCAAAGCAGAUGCUAUUGGUUUCCCAAAAGGGAAAGUCCCUGCUCAGGGCGAGAAAUCUUCACAGGGUUGGUAUGCGUGGCUCUAGUUUGUGUUUUUCCCACAGUCAUCAGUGGUAAUAUUCUCCUAAUCUUUAAUCUGGAGAAUCUGGUGGUGUACAACUUAAAACUCUUAUCUCUAUCAGUUAACAGAGUACCGGAUCUGUAAGUGCUGAAGGUGCAGAUGUGUGGAUAAACAAAUAAAAAUCUAUAUAUUUAACCCUCUGGUGCUCUUUGGUCAUUUUUGACUAAAAAUUGUUUAUUUGUUUUUUUUAGAAUUGUUUACGUCAUCAGAAUGAUGGCACUUGUGUUCUAUUCUAAAUUCUAAAAGAUUUGAAAAGGUGAUUUAUAAUGACUGGAAUCAUUGGACAUUAAUGGAGAAUACAUUUUUUCUAGAGGACACUCUUGGUAUUGUGCCGGGGAAAAUAAAAAAUCUUACUGAAAG